Molecule: long non-coding RNA, 5026 nt
Organism: Anopheles coluzzii
Lineage: Eukaryota; Metazoa; Arthropoda; Insecta; Diptera; Culicidae
Exons: 3
Source: RefSeq, a predicted model, not a curated record
CCGGCAACAAUUUUAGGGCCUGUGACCGAUGACCGUAGGGGUUCCAUGGCCACCCCCCCUCCAUCCGCCAGCAAUUUAAGUAUAAUGUUCAAUCUAUCUCCCAACAGCUGUGUGCCAGUACCCCCUCCUCCCGGUCAUCAGUUACCAUUUACAGGGGCCUCAAUUCGUCUUUCCGCCUUUCAUGAACACCUUGCUUUCUUUGACCGAUGGAUCAUAACAUUCCGGAAGAGCAUACAUUCGGCGACAGUUUUGCAUACACACGCACACUCACAACCAUGCGCAGGAUGCUUAGCAUAUCUAUGUUAUCCACAACAGGCGAAAGCAAAAUCUUAGUGCUAUGCUUACUGCUUAACACGUUCAGCACGAUGGCAGGCCCCAGGGACUGCCAGUGAACUUUCCAGUAUACCGGUUUCACAAUCAGCUUGCGUUCUAGAUGCCGGCGGAACGGUAAGCUCAUGAAAAUCAGCGCCGGACUGAACGUGUUAAUGCGAAUUAGGGUUCUGCGCGUUGCACAGCAAACCCUCCUGCGUAAACUAGCGAUUCCUUAGUCAUUUUUAUAUUGCAGUGUUUGAACUCAUUGCAAUUUUUUGGUUUGAUUUGUGAAAAUGCAACUUCAUCGCCGCAAUGUUUGUUAACGGCAUUUUUAGGCGCCACAACAGCUCGCGAGCAUUGUCCACACGCGUGAAAGAGAUAGCGCUAUGGAGGGAAAAAGCACGGACGACGGCUGACAGCGAUUGGCCGUCUGACGCACCAACACAUUCAAACCUUCGACAGCGCGCUCAGGCGAGGGGUACGAGGCGGAGCCAGGGACGGGUAGCUCGACGAGCUGCUUGACAAAUUUGCCGUUGGAGGGAAAAAGAUGGCAUGAUAAAAUUCUCCGAACGGCAUGAUUUCUUCCGUCGCUUUGCGCAGCGGGUCUCAGAACUCCAUGAUUUCUUCCGUCGCUUUGCGCAGCGGGAACUAACAGUAGAUUUAUUUAAAGUUAACUUUACCGUGUUAGCCUUUAUUCAGAGGCUGCUUUGUGUUGUUGUCGUUUUGUUUAUCUUCAAAUGUCAAACACACUUAAAAAAUCGCAAUGCGAAUCGGAAGAGCGUUGACACGGCGUACGAUUCGCACGUCCGAUAAAAUCGCAUCCGAUGAAGCGUUGCCACGGGCCUUAAGGGCCAUCCCAAGUGCCACAAAUCCACUAAACGACCACUAAACGGCUUCUAAACGCCUCAAGCACUCUACCUAAACGGAAUAUAGAAAGACCUCGUUUAGCAGACGGCAAACGACUCAUGUAUUCUAAAAAUAGCUAAAAAAAAGCUGGUGGCGCCAUCUGUUUGUGGGAUACCCAACCAGUUGAGCUUCCUCGCUUGGAGGAGAGCUUUCUCGUUUCCUCUGUACUGUUGUAUGGUUUCGCAUUGAAGUUAUGCAUCGCUAGAACUAGAACGGCGAUGCGAUUGUUUAAAUACUAAACUCCAACCGAAACCAUCAGCACUGAAGCAACCCGGCAACCAAUGCGAGGGUUGGUGAGGUACCUCUCGCUCUAAUUUCUCUAAUCUAGUCUAGUUGCCGCGCUUCCUCCUAUAGCGAUUCUGUCGAGCUGAGCUUUCACGUCCCUCACCACCGAACCCACGACGGGCAUGCAGAUGUGCGGAAUGAUGGCGUUGCCGCGCGACCGCUUAUGUCCAGCGGGUAACUUGCAUACUGCCACACUGUCUCCUGCUCGAUGCAUACGCUGCAGGCAGGGGGAAGGAUGCACCUCCACGAUAAAAAAAAACACCGUCAUGAACCAGCGGUGGACCUAACGGUAGGCGGACUAGGCGGUCGCCGAAAAUCUCUAGUCUGUAGUAUGCCAUAUGUCUACAAGUGGACAGAGUAUUAGCGACAAGGGCCCCCAGAAAGAUGGUCGUUGGGGCCCCGUGGCUGGAGAACCAUCUGCACUCUAAACUCGCGCACGCGUUAUCCAGCGAUUACGGUGAUAAAGAAACAUUAUUUUAAUAGAAUAUGGCCUCUUUUAACUUGCAGAUAUAAUGCAGGAAUGAUAUGGGCCUGCGGCAGGUGUUUGCGACUGUGCGCUGUGUAUGAUUGUGUAUGAUACGCCAAUUUUCCUCUAUCCUGGAACGUGGGCUUACGAGGAACCAUUCAAGAAGAUCCUCCGGAAGCUGUACGGCGACGAGUCGGGCUCUACCAGCACAACACGCUAGAGGCCCAGCCGGCACCGGGUGCCCAGAUUGCGCCGUGAGACAAUGUCGAGCGCGCUCGUUAACAACGUUCGGGGCAGGAAUGCAACCCUUCUGAUCAUUAUCCUCUGCCUCACAAUAGCUGCAGCAGCAACAGGACCGAACCGACCGCACUACUGAUUGCGGUCAAAUUUCCUGGCAGGAGAAAAAAUCCCACAAGUGUAUCGAUUUCAUCGACGGCCGCUCGCUGGCAGCACCAACAUGCCACCGAAUAACCCCGGAAAGGCGACAAACACUCAUCUCCAGCGGCAAAUUGGUAACAUUAACCCACUUUCGCACAUCUAUACGACGUCACGUUAAUAGUGUUAUUUUGAUGAUGUUAACGAGUUAAGAUUAGACUUAAGUACGCUUUAAGGCAUACAUCGAUAUGCUUAAUUUUAAGUUAAGUGUUUUGACAAGCCCGUGUGGGUCAAGGGGCGGAAUAAGCGCUAAGCAAACUAAGCGGCCGCGUAGGGCCCCGUGGUCUUGAGGGGGCCCAAAAAAGGAACUCACCCCCCACUCGCAAGUUAAAUUGCUACUAAAUCCUGCUCUAGUUUAGAAUAUUUCCCUGCUAGACGCUUAAACCAAUCUUACAUUUAUGUGACUGAUUAGGGCCUCCACUCGUAUUUGUGGGUUUUGCACAACAUUUAAGAUAAAUAAAUUUAGUUUAUAUUAUCAUAAAACACUACGCAUUUUUAAAGGGGGAAUAAAGAUGAUGACAUAUAUUUAGUUUGUUAGAAGGUUUGUAUGCACGUUCACUAGUUUAUUUUAUCUGGAUUCUUUGCGGACUGCUUUUCGAUUGCGCAUGUCGCUUUGCCUCGUCUUGUGUUUUACAAACCCUAACAGCAGGGAUGCGGCUAGUCUAUCAUUGGAUUAACCUGGUGGAUCGGGUAGCUUGUAGCGCACCAUACUCGCCUGUCCACGAUGGGUAGGCCAUGUCAUACCCCUGGUACUGAAAGAUCCAGCCCAUAGUCGUUCGCAAGGACAGACAAAACGGUGUGUCACAGAAUGUGUAACAGAUGGUAGAAAAUGGGUACCUGCGGGUGAGAGAGUCUGUUUCUAAUGUUUUAUUAUCAGUUGGUGACACGUUCAAAUGGAUGUGCACAGAUCACUGCCCGAUCCUGAGGGCUCACCGUUGAAAGAGGCACUGUCAGCGUGUGAUGUCCUCAGAGAGGAUCUUGAUACGGAACCGAGAGUGGCUGUUCUCUCCCCCUCCCCCUCCCGCGUGUGUUUUUGGAUGUGGCUUUCUUUUUCUUCUUCCUUAUGUAUGUGGCUUUAUAAUCAUGUGUUAAAGAAAUAAACCAAAGAGCUGUUGAACGACGUUUAUGUGUUGUUUUGUCGCACAUUUUGUAUUAAUGUGGAUACAUAAAGGAUGAUAAUAUCAUGCCCGUCAUUGGUUCAAGCCUCAUAUAGACCGUCCCCUCGUAGUAAGGACUGGCCAGCCGGGUGUGUGGUACUAAAAAGACGCUAAAGCUUGCAUUGGCUGGCAUGACCAGGUAUACGACAAAUAGAAGAAGAAGAGAAGGGAAAAUGGAAAGAAGCAGUUAAUAGAAGCUUCGCCAGCCUCGGGGCCCCAACUUCCAUCCUUCCGGGGGCUAGUCGCUAGUACUCUGUCCAUACGGCAUACUAUAAACUAGCGAUCUACGAGGCCCCUGAAUCGGCGGGGCCCCUGGCGACCGCCUAGUCCGCCUAUCGUUAGAUCCGCCACUGGUAUGAGGAAUCAAUUAAAAUAGUCAAAUCGUAUUGAAUUGUGGGUCAAUUUUUGGGAAAAUCACAAACACAUGAAAUCAUUAUCUCAUACGGCCGAUAAAACCAGCUUACAUCGGGUUGAGAUCACGUGAUACAAAAUCAAAUUUUCGGUACGGAACUAUUCCUUCACUUUCGCUCGUUUGAAAUUGGCUUCAUAACCGUUGAUCGACAUGGCGAUCAAAUGGCCACAUCAGAAACGGCACGGAACGGAAACCACCAGCAUAGCACAAAUAUUGCUUCAACACCAGAAUUGACCGGCUUUCGCAUCGUCAAGGUCACAGGUAAAACCAAAUACACUACAUAUAUAUGUACCAAUCGCCAAUUCAAGAUACAACUACAACCCUACAAUAUACCAGUACCAGCUGAUGAGCUAUCGCACACAAGCGAACGGCGCGCGGAAAUAAGAGGAAGGGGCCUGAAGGAAGAGAGGACAGGGGAAGGCAUCGGGAGAGAGAGUGUGUGUGGUCAAAAUUUUUGGCCAUUUAAAUUUAGUCCACCAACACCGUUGCAUUUUGGAGCUUUUUUCUUGCCAGAAAGAGAUAGCCAUACACUUGACAUACAGCUGUCUCGCUCAUAUGACACUUUCAAGGCUCGCAAGCUCUUUAAUGCGAGGGCUCUGGAGCAGUGAACUUGUAUGGCGUGCGAGCCCUCGCGCGCCCUCGCAAAUCGCUGUCACUUGCACUGCGGGUUGUUUGCCGGGAAGUGAGAUUUGAGUAAUGGUCGUUGGUGUUGAUACCCACGUAUCUGACCACACGACCAUUCAUAUAAAUUUUUGCUCAGAAAGUUAGAAGGCUGUAUAGGGCAUGAUAAGAUGAAAGUUGUCGAAACACAUUGCAAGAAAAAGGAAAGCAAUAUAAUGAUGAGUUGUAAUACGUCAUCUAUUGAUCAAACCAAUGAAGCUGUGGAGCUUUCAUUUUUAUCUAUGGAUACUCAAUUUUGCAGUCGUUUAAGCUUAAUCUGUGGCGCUUGGGAUUACACGUUUGUAAUACCAUCUAUUGAGCAAACUAAUGAAGCUAUGGAGUUUUCGUUUUUCUUCUAUAGAUAUUCGAUUUAAUUGUCGUUUAAGCUUAAUC